GACGAACGCUGGCGGCGUGCUUAACACAUGCAAGUCGAACGGUGAAGCGCCUUCCUUUUUGGUGGGUGUGGAUGAGUGGCGAACGGGUGAGUAACACGUGAGUAACCUGCCCCCUUCUUCUGGAUAACCGCAUGAAAGUGUGGCUAAUACGUGAUAUUCUGGGUCUGUCGCAUGAUGGGUCUGGGAAAGAUAUUGUUUCGGUGGGGGAUGGGCUCGCGGCCUAUCAGCUUGUUGGUGGGGUGAUGGCGUACCACGGCGGUGACGGGUAGCCGGCCUGAGAGGGUGGACGGUCACAAUGGGACUGAGACACGGCCCAGACGCCUACGGGAGGCAGCAGUGGGGAAUAUUGCACAAUGGGCGGAAGCAUGAUGCAGCGACGCCGCGUGAGGGAUGGAGGCCGUCGGGUUGUGAACCUCUUUCGCCAGUGAAGCAGGCCUGCCUCGUUUGUGGGUGGGUUGACGGUAGCUGGAUAAGAAGCGCCGGCUAACUACGUG
This 494-nucleotide ribosomal RNA is filed under the name uncultured bacterium. RNAcentral's name for it is "partial 16S ribosomal RNA". It matches the Rfam family "Bacterial small subunit ribosomal RNA", at positions 28 to 507 of the family's 1533-position model. The record is from RNAcentral.